This 594-nucleotide ribosomal RNA is filed under the name Apiotrichum scarabaeorum. RNAcentral's name for it is "LSU rRNA". It matches the Rfam family "Eukaryotic large subunit ribosomal RNA", at positions 86 to 670 of the family's 3401-position model. Lineage: Eukaryota; Fungi; Basidiomycota; Tremellomycetes; Trichosporonales; Trichosporonaceae. The record is from RNAcentral.
ACGGCGAGUGAACCGGGAAAAGCUCAAAUUUGAAAUCUGGCUGUCUUCGAUAGUCCGAGUUGUAAUCUAUAGAAGUGUUUUCCGUGCUGAACUGUGUCUAAGUCCCUUGGAACAGGGUAUCAAAGAGGGUGACAAUCCCGUACUUGACACAAUCAUCAGUGCUCUGUGAUACACUUUCUACGAGUCGAGUUGUUUGGGAAUGCAGCUCAAAAUGGGUGGUAAAUUCCAUCUAAAGCUAAAUAUUGGCGAGAGACCGAUAGCGAACAAGUACCGUGAGGGAAAGAUGAAAAGCACUUUGGAAAGAGAGUUAAACAGUACGUGAAAUUGUUGAAAGGGAAACGAUUGAAGUCAGUCGUGUUCAUUGGAUUCAGCUAGUUCUUCUAGUCUACUUCCUUUGAACGGGUCAACAUCAGUUUUGUCCGGUGGAUAAAGGCAGUAGGAAUGUGGCUUCUUCGGAAGUGUUAUAGCCUAUUGUCACAUACACUGGAGGAGACUGAGGACUGCAGCUCGCCUUUUGGCCGGGGUUCGCCCACGUUCGAGCUUAGGAUGUUGACAUAAUGGCUUUAAACGACCCGUCUUGAACCACGGACCAAA